Molecule: long non-coding RNA, 340 nt
Organism: Lethenteron reissneri (Far Eastern brook lamprey)
Lineage: Eukaryota; Metazoa; Chordata; Hyperoartia; Petromyzontiformes; Petromyzontidae
Source: RefSeq, a predicted model, not a curated record
CCACCCACGUAGCACGGCCUCGGCUUGCGCCAUGGGGGGGUUGACGAGUCACACGCGGUCGACUCAGCUUCAAAUGAGUACCUGGGGUGGUGUGUAAACAUCACCACUGGGGAGACAAAGGCGGCAGGGCAUAGUGUUGGCCACCCACCCUCUUGUGUGCCGUGAUGGUCCUUCAUACGGUGCUCGAUAACAGCAAUUGCCCCAAAGAUAAUCUUUUUCAGCCUCGGCUGAUAAGCUACACUUGGCGAAUUGCACGAAUGAGGAAACGUCCAUGAUGCUCUAGGUUGGUGCACGUACCAACUGCCCAACCGCCAUUCACAACCGGCAGUCAAACGCAAGU